ACUUUUGCUUGAACUACUUAAGCCUUCGCACACACGGAAUUGAGUAAAGUCACGCCAGAAAGUUAUUAGUAACACCAAUAAUCUCAUCUGAACACGAUGUUAAAAAUUGUCAUGUUAAAUAUAGUCAUUGUGACGAUUCUAGUGAUUGUCAAUAAUGUACACGCAGAUUGCGGUUUAACUGGAGCAUUUUGUGGUAGAGGUCUCAACAGAGUAGACUGUUGUGACGGCUACUUUUGUGAUAUUGCUCCGAACGAUGCUAAUGCUCUUUGCACUCCAAAUUGUGGAACAACUGAUGCAUAUUGUGGACUGGGUGUGAACAGUGUGGCUUGCUGCGAGGGUUUUUAUUGCGAUGUGGCACCAAAUGAUGAGUACGCUCGUUGUACUCCAAAUAAAAUUAAAAAGAAUGUUUUUAUCAACAAAAAAUGAAUAAAUUUAUUUGCAAUCGUUUAAAAUCUAAA
Long non-coding RNA from Bradysia coprophila, 458 nucleotides. RefSeq lists it as uncharacterized. NCBI's taxonomy places the organism in Eukaryota, Metazoa, Arthropoda, Insecta, Diptera, Sciaridae. The record is from RefSeq and is a predicted model, not a curated record.